UAAAACCAGCACCUCAAGUGGUCAGGAUGAUUAUUGGGCCUAAAGCAUCCGUAGCCGGCUCUGUAAGUUUUCGGUUAAAUCCAUAUGCUCAACAUAUGGGCCGCCGGGAAUACUGCAUAGCUAGGGAGUGGGAGAGGUAGACGGUACUCCGUAGGAAGGGGUAAAAUCCUUUGAUCUAUGGAUGACCACCUGUGGCGAAGGCGGUCUACCAGAACACGUUCGACGGUGAGGGAUGAAAGCUGGGGGAGCAAACCGGAUUAGAUACCCGGGUAGUCCCAGCUGUAAACUAUGCAAACUCAGUGAUGCAUUGGCUUGUGGCCAGUGCAGUGCCGCAGAGAAGUCGUUAAGUUUGCCGCCUGGGAAGUACGUACGCAAGUAUG
RNAcentral lists this ribosomal RNA (380 nucleotides) under uncultured Nitrososphaerota archaeon. Its description in RNAcentral is "bacterial SSU rRNA". It matches the Rfam family "Archaeal small subunit ribosomal RNA", at positions 471 to 851 of the family's 1478-position model. The record is from RNAcentral. Lineage: Archaea; Thermoproteati; Nitrososphaerota.